UAGGGAAUCUUCGGCAAUGGACGAAAGUCUGACCGAGCAACGCCGCGUGAGUGAAGAAGGUUUUCGGAUCGUAAAACUCUGUUGGUAGAGAAGAACGUUGGUGAGAGUGGAAAGCUCAUCAAGUGACGGUAACUACCCAGAAAGGGACGGCUAACUACGUGCCAGCAGCCGCGGUAAUACGUAGGUCCCGAGCGUUGUCCGGAUUUAUUGGGCGUAAAGCGAGCGCAGGUGGUUUAUUAAGUCUGGUGUAAAAGGCAGUGGCUCAACCAUUGUAUGCAUUGGAAACUGGUAGACUUGAGUGCAGGAGAGGAGAGUGGAAUUCCAUGUGUAGCGGUGAAAUGCGUAGAUAUAUGGAGGAACACCGGUGGCGAAAGCGGCUCUCUGGCCUGUAACUGACACUGAGGCUCGAAAGCGUGGGGAGCAAACAGGAUUAGAUACCCUGGUAGUCCACGCCGUAAACGAUGAGUGCUAGAUGUAGGGAG
Molecule: ribosomal RNA, 482 nt
Filed under: uncultured bacterium
Lineage: Bacteria
Description: partial 16S ribosomal RNA
Rfam family: Bacterial small subunit ribosomal RNA
Source: RNAcentral